AGAAUGAACCGGCGAGUUACGAUCCCGUGCGAGGUUAAGCUGAAGAGGCGGAGCCGCAGCGAAAGCGAGUCUGAAUAGGGCGUUUAGUACGUGGUCGUAGACCCGAAACCAGGUGAUCUACCCAUGUCCAGGGUGAAGUUCAGGUAACACUGAAUGGAGGCCCGAACCCACGCACGUUGAAAAGUGCGGGGAUGAGGUGUGGGUAGCGGAGAAAUUCCAAUCGAACCUGGAGAUAGCUGGUUCUCCCCGAAAUAGCUUUAGGGCUAGCCUUAAGUGUAAGAGUCUUGGAGGUAGAGCACUGAUUGGACUAGGGGUCCUCAUCGGAUUACCGAAUUCAGUCAAACUCCGAAUGCCAAUGACUUAUCCUUAGGAGUCAGACUGCGAGUGAUAAGAUCCGUAGUCAAAAGGGAAACAGCCCAGACCGCCAGCUAAGGUCCCAAAGUGUGUAUUAAGUGGAAAAGGAUGUGGAGUUGCUUAGACAACUAGGAUGUUGGCUUAGAAGCAGCCACCAUUUAAAGAGUGCGUAAUAGCUCACUAGUCGAGUGACUCUGCGCCGAAAAUGUACCGGGGCUAAAUACACCACCGAAGCUGCGGAUUGAUACCAAUGGUAUCAGUGGUAGGGGAGCGUUCUAAGGACAGUGAAGUCAGACCGGAAGGACUGGUGGAGUGCUUAGAAGUGAGAAUGCCGGUAUGAGUAGCGAAAGACGGGUGAGAAUCCCGUCCACCGAAUGCCUAAGGUUUCCUGAGGAAGGCUCGUCCGCUCAGGGUUAGUCAGGACCUAAGCCGAGGCCGACAGGCGUAGGCGAUGGACAACAGGUUGAUAUUCCUGUACCACCUCUUUAUCGUUUGAGCAAUGGAGGGACGCAGAAGGAUAGAAGAAGCGUGCGAUUGGUUGUGCACGUCCAAGCAGUUAGGCUGAUAAGUAGGCAAAUCCGCUUAUCGUGAAGGCUGAGCUGUGAUGGGGAAGCUCCUUAUGGAGCGAAGUCUUUGAUUCCCCGCUGCCAAGAAAAGCUUCUAGCGAGAUAAAAGGUGCCUGUACCGCAAACCGACACAGGUAGGCGAGGAGAGAAUCCUAAGGUGUGCGAGAGAACUCUGGUUAAGGAACUCGGCAAAAUGACCCCGUAACUUCGGGAGAAGGGGUGCUUUCUUAACGGAAAGCCGCAGUGAAUAGGCCCAAGCGACUGUUUAGCAAAAACACAGCUCUCUGCGAAGCCGUAAGGCGAAGUAUAGGGGGUGACACCUGCCCGGUGCUGGAAGGUUAAGGAGAGGGGUUAGCGUAAGCGAAGCUCUGAACUGAAGCCCCAGUAAACGGCGGCCGUAACUAUAACGGUCCUAAGGUAGCGAAAUUCCUUGUCGGGUAAGUUCCGACCCGCACGAAAGGUGUAACGAUUUGGGCACUGUCUCAACCAGAGACUCGGUGAAAUUAUAGUACCUGUGAAGAUGCAGGUUACCCGCGACAGGACGGAAAGACCCCGUGGAGCUUUACUGUAGCCUGAUAUUGAAUUUUGGUACAGUUUGUACAGGAUAGGCGGGAGCCUUUGAAACCGGAGCGCUAGCUUCGGUGGAGGCGCUGGUGGGAUACCGCCCUGACUGUAUUGAAAUUCUAACCUACGGGUCUUAUCGACCCGGGAGACAGUGUCAGGUGGGCAGUUUGACUGGGGCGGUCGCCUCCUAAAGUGUAACGGAGGCGCCCAAAGGUUCCCUCAGAAUGGUUGGAAAUCAUUCGUAGAGUGCAAAGGCAUAAGGGAGCUUGACUGCGAGACCUACAAGUCGAGCAGGGACGAAAGUCGGGCUUAGUGAUCCGGUGGUUCCGCAUGGAAGGGCCAUCGCUCAACGGAUAAAAGCUACCCCGGGGAUAACAGGCUUAUCUCCCCCAAGAGUCCACAUCGACGGGGAGGUUUGGCACCUCGAUGUCGGCUCAUCGCAUCCUGGGGCUGUAGUCGGUCCCAAGGGUUGGGCUGUUCGCCCAUUAAAGCGGUACGCGAGCUGGGUUCAGAACGUCGUGAGACAGUUCGGUCCCUAUCCGUCGUGGGCGUAGGAAAUUUGAGAGGAGCUGUCCUUAGUACGAGAGGACCGGGAUGGACGCACCGCUGGUGUACCAGUUGUUCUGCCAAGGGCAUAGCUGGGUAGCUAUGUGCGGAAGGGAUAAGUGC
Molecule: ribosomal RNA, 2153 nt
Filed under: Bacillus anthracis (anthrax bacterium)
Lineage: Bacteria; Bacillati; Bacillota; Bacilli; Caryophanales; Bacillaceae
Description: partial 23S ribosomal RNA
Rfam family: Bacterial large subunit ribosomal RNA
Source: RNAcentral